GACGAACGCUGGCGGCGUGCUUAACACAUGCAAGUCGAACGGUAAGGCCCUUCGGGGUACACGAGUGGCGAACGGGUGAGUAACACGUGGGUGAUCUGCCCUGCACUUCGGGAUAAGCCUGGGAAACUGGGUCUAAUACCGGAUAGGACUCCUGGCUUCAUGGUUGGGGGUGGAAAGCUUUUGCGGUGUGGGAUGGGCCCGCGGCCUAUCAGCUUGUGGGUGGGGUAAUGGCCUACCAAGGCGACGACGGGUAGCCGGCCUGAGAGGAUGACCGGUCACACUGGGACUGAGAUACGGCCCAGACUCCUACGGGAGGCGGCAGUGGGGAAUAUUGCACAAUGGGCGCAAGCCUGAUGCAGCGACGCCGCGUGAGGGAUGACGGCCUUCGGGUUGUAAACCUCUUUCAGCUAUGACGAAGCGCAAGUGACGGUAGUAGCAGAAGAAGGACCGGCCAACUACGUGCCAGCAGCCGCGGUAA
This 478-nucleotide ribosomal RNA is filed under the name uncultured bacterium. Its description in RNAcentral is "partial 16S ribosomal RNA". It matches the Rfam family "Bacterial small subunit ribosomal RNA", at positions 28 to 523 of the family's 1533-position model. The record is from RNAcentral.